Molecule: ribosomal RNA, 253 nt
Filed under: uncultured bacterium
Lineage: Bacteria
Description: partial 16S ribosomal RNA
Rfam family: Bacterial small subunit ribosomal RNA
Source: RNAcentral
UACGAAGGGGGCUAGCGUUGUUCGGAAUUACUGGGCGUAAAGGGCGCGUAGGCGGUCCUGAUCGUCGGAUGUGAAAGGCCUGGGCUCAACCUUGGAAUGGCAUCCGAUACGGCGGGACUGGAGUGUGGGAGAGGUUGGUGGAAUUCCCAGUGUAGAGGUGAAAUUCGUAGAUAUUGGGAAGAACACCGGUGGCGAAGGCGGCCAACUGGACCACAACUGACGCUGAGGCGCGAAAGCGUGGGGAGCAAACAGG